Molecule: ribosomal RNA, 407 nt
Filed under: uncultured bacterium
Lineage: Bacteria
Description: partial 16S ribosomal RNA
Rfam family: Bacterial small subunit ribosomal RNA
Source: RNAcentral
AUUGAACGCUGGCGGCAGGCCUAACACAUGCAAGUCGAGCGGAGCGGCGGACGGGUGAGUAAUGCCUAGGAAUCGGCCUGGUAGUGGGGGAGAACGUCCGGCAACGGGCGCUAAUACCGCAUACUAUCAGCAGAGCCUAGGUCGGAUUAGCUAGUUGGUGGGGUAAAGGCAGAGCAAGGCGAAGAUCCGUAACUGGUCUGAGAGGAUGAUCAGUCACACUGGAACUGAGACACGGUCCAGACUCCUACGGGAGGCAGCAGUGGGGAAUAUUGGACAAUGGGCGCAAGCCUGAUCCAGCCAUGCCGCGUGUGUGAAGAAGGUCUUCGGAUUGUAAAGCACUUUAAGUUGGGAGGCGUUACCAACAGAAUAAGCACCGGCUAACUUCGUGCCAGCAGCCGCGGUAAUAC